AGCUUUGCACAGUGGCAGUAUCAUACCAAUGAAGUUAAUCUGAGGUGUGAUAUUGCUACUUGAAAUCUACUCCUCUCCUCCUGGUGGUAGAUGUACAGUACUACUGUAGACAGCAGAAACUG
Molecule: small nuclear RNA, 122 nt
Filed under: Chelonoidis abingdonii (Abingdon island giant tortoise)
Lineage: Eukaryota; Metazoa; Chordata; Testudines; Testudinidae
Description: U4 spliceosomal RNA (ENSCABG00000012538.1)
Rfam family: U4 spliceosomal RNA
About the family: U4 small nuclear RNA (U4 snRNA) is a component of the major U2-dependent spliceosome. The structure of U4 snRNA from yeast and human has been reported.
Source: Rfam by way of RNAcentral